Molecule: microRNA precursor, 74 nt
Filed under: Trialeurodes vaporariorum (greenhouse whitefly)
Lineage: Eukaryota; Metazoa; Arthropoda; Insecta; Hemiptera; Aleyrodidae
Description: mir-10 microRNA precursor family
Rfam family: mir-10 microRNA precursor family
About the family: In this case the mature sequence comes from the 5' arm of the precursor. The extents of the hairpin precursors are not generally known and are estimated based on hairpin prediction.
Source: RNAcentral
CUACACAUACCCUGUAGAUCCGAAAUUUGUCAUAAAUUUGUCGACAAAUUCGGUUCUAGAGAGGUUUGUGUGGU